AUGGUUGUUAGGAUACUUAAAAUGAACUUCAAAUAUAGGGCUAAUGUCCAAUAAAAGUAAAAUCGGAAUCCAACUUGAAGGUUUUGUUGACUCAGAUUUUGCUGGUAAUUGUGACAAUAGAAAAUCUACAUUUGCAUAUGUGUUUAAUUAAAUGAUACAUGCAUUAAUUGGAAAUCUCAACUGCAAAAAAUAGUUGCUCUGUCUUCAACAGAGGCUGAGUAUAUUUCAGCCACAGAUGCUAUGAAGGAAGGUAUUUGGUUGAAAAAUCCAUUGGAUGAAAUUGACUUUACUAGUAAUAAUGUUACCGUGUAUUUUGAUAGCCAAUCUGCCAUACAUCUAACUAGAAAUCCUAUCUUCCAUGAUAGGACUACAUGUAUAGAUGUUAAAUUUCAUUUUGUAAGAGCUAUUAUAGAAAAUGAGAUCAUAAAGAUUGAAAAGGUUUCAACUAAAUGUAAUCUAGGAGAUACGGGAACAAAAGUACUUCCUUUGCAUAAAUUUAGGGAUUGUUUGAAUCUCCUACAUAUUAUUACUGACUAAGGUCAUUUUUGCAGGUACAUAGAGUAUAUGAAACCAUAAGGAGGAGUUAACCUCUAAUCCACAUGAAACCCAAAGAUGUCAAGUAAGAUGGACAUUUUUAUAUAUGUGCUUAGCACCUAAGUUUUUGGCCCAAUGAUGUAGCCCAAUUACUUAAAUGUUUGGCCCAUGAUCGGGGAAUGUGACCCGGUUUGGCCCCUUUGUGUAUAUUCCCACAUUACUUAAAAUGCGUCUUUAGUGGAUGGCUAAGAUGGUGACACCCGUUGCUAGCUAAAACAUUGGAUGCAUUGUGACUUUUUAUAUUCCCAAUCUCUCUUUCAUUUGUGAGGUUUCGAGAUUAUUCUAGUGUUUAGACUCUCUUUUAUCCAUGAACUUUCUCUCAGAAAACUCUUGGUUUUCAUUUGUAAUCUUGCGAGGUCUGGAUAUUCUUGGUGAUGUCUACUGUAGAUUACGGUAUGGUUUUGUGGUUUUCUUGUUUUUUGGUGAAAAGUAGCCCUUGGUUGCUUUGUGUAAUCAGUAAAAGAGAGAAAAAGUGAGAGUUUGAGGCUGAGUGCUUGGAGUCCUAUGUUCUUGAGUCUCUAAUACUUGUAUAUUAACAUAUUUUGCUGGAUUCUAGUGUAUUAGAGCGAUAACCACUUAGGUAGAUGUUCAAUGUGGUGAUUAGCCCAUCUUUGGGUAAAAAUCCUGGCCUACGGGCGAAAAAUCUUUUGUGUUCUUAGAUUUGAUUUGUUCGAUUUUUAUUUGGG
RNAcentral lists this long non-coding RNA (1280 nucleotides) under Olea europaea subsp. europaea. The record is from RNAcentral. Lineage: Eukaryota; Viridiplantae; Streptophyta; Magnoliopsida; Lamiales; Oleaceae.